This 564-nucleotide long non-coding RNA is filed under the name Carica papaya (papaya). Its description in RNAcentral is "long non-coding RNA (CPAP_LNC008891)". The record is from RNAcentral. Lineage: Eukaryota; Viridiplantae; Streptophyta; Magnoliopsida; Brassicales; Caricaceae.
AUAACAUAGCACAUAUUAUACUUUCACAUUCAAAUAAUCGAAACAACAACUGUCACUUUCCAUCAGCCUGCUGGCAUCCAUGGGGGUUCAUAGGGAUGUCCCCGCUACGCAUGAAUCCUUUUCUUUAACAUUCUCAAUUAACAGGCCGUCCUCAUAUCCCGUUCGGUAUGAGCGCCAAAUUACUAAACCUCAAUACCCCAUUCGGUAUGAGGGUGAAACGGGCCGUCCCCAUACCUUGUCCGAUAUGAGCACUAAAUUACCAAGUCUCGAUACCCCCUCCGGUAUGAGACAACAUUCACAGUAGGGUUCCCUAUUAUACCCAGUCCGUCCACCAUCUCUCAGAUAUCAAGUAAGGCUGCCGUUUCAUCCAUUUACUUAAUCACACAAUUUUUCAUUUUUCUUUAGUUUUCAUUUUUUGAAUUCGAUCGUAAUCACAUGAAUUAAAAAAUGCAUGUAUUCAAAACUAUAAAAUUGAUCAAUAAGGUACUAUCAUGCAUUUAAACUCUAAAAACAACCAACAGAACAACAAUAUAUAAUUUCUGAUUCUGGCUCCAUUAGUAAUCU